This 425-nucleotide ribosomal RNA is filed under the name uncultured bacterium. RNAcentral's name for it is "bacterial SSU rRNA". It matches the Rfam family "Bacterial small subunit ribosomal RNA", at positions 28 to 443 of the family's 1533-position model. The record is from RNAcentral.
GAUGAACGCUGGCGGCGUGCUUAACACAUGCAAGUCGAACGAAGCACUUCAUAAAGCUUGCUUUAGGAAGUGACUUAGUGGCGGACGGGUGAGUAACGCGUGGGUAACCUGCCUUACACAGGGGGAUAACAGUUAGAAAUGACUGCUAAUACCGCAUAAAACAGCAGAGUCGCAUGACUCAACUGUCAAAGAUUUAUCGGUGUAAGAUGGACCCGCGUCUGAUUAGCUUGUUGGUGGGAUAACGGCCUACCAAGGCGACGAUCAGUAGCCGGCCUGAGAGGGUGAACGGCCACAUUGGGACUGAGACACGGCCCAAACUCCUACGGGAGGCAGCAGUGGGGAAUAUUGGACAAUGGGCGAAAGCCUGAUCCAGCGACGCCGCGUGAGCGAUGAAGUAUUUCGGUAUGUAAAGCUCUAUCAGCAGG